CUAAUACUAGCCUAUAAAAUAAAUUAAUUUUAAUAAAAUUUUUAAUUCAACUAAAACAUUCAAUUAACUAAAUCAGUAUAGGAGAUAGAAAAUUUAUAUAGCGCAAUAGAUGAAGUACCGUAAGGGAAUGAUUGAAAGAAUAAUUAAAAGUGAAAAACAGCAAAGAUUAAAACUUGUACCUUUUGCAUAAUGAUUUAGCCAGAAUAAAAUUAACGAAGAGAACUAAAGCUAAUAACCCCGAAAUCAGACGAGCUAUCUAACAACAACCUUAUGGGUUAACUCGUCUAUGUGGCAAAAUAGUGAGAUGAUUGUUAGAUAGAGGUGAAAAGCCUACCGAGCCUGAUGAUAGCUGGUUGUCCAAAUAAGAAUUUUAGUUCAACUUUAAAUUUACCUAUAUAACAGUUAAUUAAAUGUAAAUUUAAAAUAUACUUCUAAGAGGGACAGCUCUUAGAAAAAGGUAUACAAACCUACUCAGAGAGUAAUAAAUUUUACAAACAUAGUAGGCCCAAAAGCAGCCAUCAAUUAAGAAAGCGUUAAAGCUCAAAAUUAUAUAAAUUUUAAUCCCAAAAGCUUAUUUUAACUCCUGACAUAAAAUUGGACCAAUCUAUUCUAUAGAAAUAGAAGAAAUACUGCUAAUAUGAGUAACAAGAAUUAACUUCUCCUAGCAUAAUUUUAUAUCAGACCGAAUAAUUCACUGAUAGUUAACAAUUUCAAUGGAUAAAAAUAAAUAUAAAUUUACCAUUAAUAAAUUUGUUAACCCAACACAGGUAUGCACUUAAGGAAAGAUUAAAAGAAUUAAAAGGAACUCGGCAAACACAAGCCCCGCCUGUUUACCAAAAACAUCACCUCUAGCAUUACUAGUAUUAGAGGCACUGCCUGCCCAGUGACAUAGUUCAACGGCCGCGGUAUCCUGACCGUGCAAAGGUAGCAUAAUCACUUGUUCUUUAAUUAAGGACUUGUAUGAAUGGCCACACGAGGGUUUAACUGUCUCUUUAUUCAAAUCAGUGAAAUUGACCUUUCCGUGAAAAGGCGGAAAUACUAAAAUAAGACGAGAAGACCCUAUGGAGCUUUAGUUUUUAAACUAACUGUAAAUAUAAUAAAUCUAAGGAUAUAAAAAAAACAUAAUUAGUAAUAAACUUUGGUUGGGGUGACCUCGGAGAACAAAAUAACCUCCGAAUGAUUUUAAUCCUAGACUUACAAGUCAAAGUCUAAUCAAUUAUUGAUCCAGUAUAUAUCUGAUCAACGGAACAAGUUACCCUAGGGAUAACAGCGCAAUCCUAUUCAAGAGUUCAUAUCGACGAUAGGGUUUACGACCUCGAUGUUGGAUCAGGACAUCCAAAUGGUGCAACAGCUAUUAAUGGUUCGUUUGUUCAACGAUUAAAGUCCUACGUGAUCUGAGUUCAGACCGGAGUAAUCCAGGUCGGUUUCUAUCUAUUAUAUGUUUCUCCUAGUACGAAAGGACCAGAGAAACAAGGCCAACUAACACAUUAGAGCCUUAUACCAAGUAUAGAUGACAUAAUCUUAAUCUAGAUUAUUAAGUAUUAGUUAUAUAGCCCAAGAGAAGGGCUU
RNAcentral lists this ribosomal RNA (1569 nucleotides) under Paraechinus nudiventris (bare-bellied hedgehog). Its description in RNAcentral is "16S ribosomal RNA". It matches the Rfam family "Bacterial large subunit ribosomal RNA". The record is from RNAcentral. Lineage: Eukaryota; Metazoa; Chordata; Mammalia; Eulipotyphla; Erinaceidae.